CCUACGGGAGGCAGCAGUGAGGAAUAUUGGGCAAUGGACGCAAGUCUGAACCAGCCAUGCCGCGUGCAGGAAGACGGCUCUAUGAGUUGUAACCUGCUUUUGUACGAGGGUAAACGCAGAUACGCGUAUCUGUCUGAAAGUAUCGUACGAAUAAGGAUCGACUAGCUCCGUGCCAGCAGCCGCGGUAAUACGGAGGAUUCAAGCGUUAUCCGGAUUUAUUGGGGUUAAGGGGUGCGUAGGCGGUCGGAUAAGUUAGAGGUGAAAUCCCGAGGCUCAACUUCGGAAUUGCCGCUGAUACUGUUCGGCUAGAGAGUAGUUGCGGUAGGCGGAAUGUAUGGUGUAGCGGUGAAAUGCUUAGAGAUCAUACAGAACACCGAUUGCGAAGGCAGCUUACCAAGCUACUUCUGACGUUGAGGCGCGAAAGCGUGGGGAGCAAACAGGAUUAGAUACCCGUGUAGUC
Molecule: ribosomal RNA, 460 nt
Filed under: uncultured bacterium
Lineage: Bacteria
Description: partial 16S ribosomal RNA
Rfam family: Bacterial small subunit ribosomal RNA
Source: RNAcentral